RNAcentral lists this ribosomal RNA (853 nucleotides) under Peribacillus psychrosaccharolyticus. RNAcentral describes it as "bacterial SSU rRNA". It matches the Rfam family "Bacterial small subunit ribosomal RNA", at positions 22 to 861 of the family's 1533-position model. The record is from RNAcentral. Lineage: Bacteria; Bacillati; Bacillota; Bacilli; Caryophanales; Bacillaceae.
GCUCAGGAUGAACGCUGGCGGCGUGCCUAAUACAUGCAAGUCGAGCGGAUUGUUGAGUUUACUCAACAAUCAGCGGCGGACGGGUGAGUAACACGUGGGCAACCUGCCUAUAAGACUGGGAUAACUUCGGGAAACCGGAGCUAAUACCGGAUAUGUUCUUCUCUCGCAUGAGAGAAGAUGGAAAGACGGUUUCGGCUGUCACUUAUAGAUGGGCCCGCGGCGCAUUAGCUAGUUGGUGAGGUAAUGGCUCACCAAGGCAACGAUGCGUAGCCGACCUGAGAGGGUGAUCGGCCACACUGGGACUGAGACACGGCCCAGACUCCUACGGGAGGCAGCAGUAGGGAAUCUUCCGCAAUGGACGAAAGUCUGACGGAGCAACGCCGCGUGAACGAUGAAGGCUUUCGGGUCGUAAAGUUCUGUUGUUAGGGAAGAACAAGUACCAGAGUAACUGCUGGUACCUUGACGGUACCUAACCAGAAAGCCACGGCUAACUACGUGCCAGCAGCCGCGGUAAUACGUAGGUGGCAAGCGUUAUCCGGAAUUAUUGGGCGUAAAGCGCGCGCAGGUGGUUCCUUAAGUCUGAUGUGAAAGCCCCCGGCUCAACCGGGGAGGGUCAUUGGAAACUGGGGAACUUGAGUGUAGAAGAGGAAAGUGGAAUUCCACGUGUAGCGGUGAAAUGCGUAGAGAUGUGGAGGAACACCAGUGGCGAAGGCGACUUUCUGGUCUAUAACUGACACUGAGGCGCGAAAGCGUGGGGAGCAAACAGGAUUAGAUACCCUGGUAGUCCACGCCGUAAACGAUGAGUGCUAAGUGUUAGAGGGUUUCCGCCCUUUAGUGCUGCAGCUAACGCAUU